GACGAACGCUGGCGGCGUGCUUAAUACAUGCAAGUCGAACGGAAAGGCCCUGCGCUUGUGGGUUGCUCGAGUGGCGAACACGUGAGUAUCACGCGAGUAACCCGCCCUUGACUUUGGGAUAACACCAGGAAACUGGGGCUCAUAUCGGGUAUGAGAUCCUGCUGCAUGUUGGGGGUUGGAGAGUGUCGGCGGUUGGGGAUGGACUCGAGGCUUAUCAGCUUGUUGGUGGGGUAGUGGCUUACCAGGGCUUUGACGGGUAGCCGGCCUGAGAGGGUGACCGGCCACAUUGGGACUGAGAUACGGCGCAGACUCCUACGGGAGGCAGCAGUGGGGAAUAUUGCACAAUGGGCGGAAGCCUGAUGCAGCAACGCCGCGUGCGGGAUGACGGCCUUUGGGUUGUAAACCGCUUUCGCCUGUGACGAAGCGUGAGUGACGGUAAUGGGUCAAGAAGCACCGGCUAACUACGUG
This 468-nucleotide ribosomal RNA is filed under the name uncultured bacterium. Its description in RNAcentral is "partial 16S ribosomal RNA". It matches the Rfam family "Bacterial small subunit ribosomal RNA", at positions 28 to 507 of the family's 1533-position model. The record is from RNAcentral.